UGCGUAGGUGGCGCCAUAAGUCAGGUGUGAAAUCCCGGGGCUCAACCUCGAAACUGCACUUGAUACUGUGGUGCUCGAGUACUGGAGAGGAGAUUGGAAUUUACGGUGUAGCAGUGAAAUGCGUAGAUAUCGUAAGGAAGACCAGUGGCGAAGGCGAAUCUCUGGACAGUUACUGACACUGAGGCACCAAGGGGCCAGGGGAAGGCAAACGG
This 212-nucleotide ribosomal RNA is filed under the name uncultured bacterium. RNAcentral describes it as "partial 16S ribosomal RNA". It matches the Rfam family "Bacterial small subunit ribosomal RNA", at positions 568 to 775 of the family's 1533-position model. The record is from RNAcentral.